AUGGGGCCAUUUUGGGGUCAUUUGGGGGCCAUUUUGAGGUCAUUUGGGGGCCAUUUGGGGGCCAUUUUGAGGUCAUUUUGGGAUGGUGCCAUUUUGGGGCCAUUUUGGGAUCAUUUUGAGGUCAUUUUGGGGUCAUUGUGGGGUGUUUUGGGGUCAUUUGGGAGCCAUUUUGGGAUGGUGCCAUGGGGCCAUUUCACCUCCCAUUUUGGGGCCAUUUUGGGGUGUUUUGGGGCCAUUUUGGGGUCAUUUUGUGCCAUUUUGGAGCCAUUUGGGGCCAUUUUGGGGUGUUCUGGGGCCAUUUUGGGGUGUUUUGGGGCCAUUUUGGGGCGGUUUUGGGGCCGUUUUGGGGUUUUGUGCCAUUUGGAGCCCUUUGGGGUCAUUUUGGGGUGGUUUGGGGCCAUUUUGGGGUCGGCUGGUGCCGUUUUGGGGUCUCACCUGCUUGUUGUAGUGCUCAGAAUCCUCCAAACCCCAUUUCUCAAAUCCCACCUCCCAUUUUGGGGCCAUUUUGGAGCCAUUUGGGGCCAUUUGGGGCCAUUUUGGGGUCAUUUUGUGCCCUUUUGGGGUGUUUUGGGGCCAUUUUGGGGCGGUUUUGGGGCCGUUUUGGGGUCUCACCUGCUUGUUGUAGUGCUCAGAAUCCUCAAAACCCCAAUUAUUGAAAUCCCACCUCCCAUUUUGGGGCCAUUUUGGGGUGUUUUGGGGCCAUUUUGGGGUGUUUUGGGGCCAUUUUGGGGCGGUUUUGGGGCCGUUUUGGGGUCUCACCUGCUUGUUGUAGUGCAUGAUGCCCAGGGUGGGGAAGACCCAGGUGCUGGCCGGUGGCACGAUGUCGCUGUCAGCAAAGUUCACCCACUGCAGGACCUGCGCCGCCCGCUCCCUGGUGGCCCCGCGCAGCUCCUCGUUGCUCACUGCACCAAAAACGGCCCCAAUUGCAUUAAUUAGGCGCUUAAUUAACCCACGACAUGCAAACACAC
Molecule: long non-coding RNA, 968 nt
Filed under: Chrysolophus pictus (golden pheasant)
Lineage: Eukaryota; Metazoa; Chordata; Aves; Galliformes; Phasianidae
Description: lncRNA (ENSCPIG00010006931.1)
Source: RNAcentral